Molecule: ribosomal RNA, 373 nt
Filed under: uncultured Prevotella sp.
Lineage: Bacteria; Pseudomonadati; Bacteroidota; Bacteroidia; Bacteroidales; Prevotellaceae
Description: bacterial SSU rRNA
Rfam family: Bacterial small subunit ribosomal RNA
Source: RNAcentral
UGAGGAAUAUUGGUCAAUGGGCGGAAGCCUGAACCAGCCAAGUAGCGUGCAGGACGACGGCCCUAUGGGUUGUAAACUGCUUUUAUAAGGGAAUAAAGUGGGUCACGUGUGACUUUUUGCAUGUACCUUAUGAAUAAGGACCGGCUAAUUCCGUGCCAGCAGCCGCGGUAAUACGGAAGGUCCGGGCGUUAUCCGGAUUUAUUGGGUUUAAAGGGAGCGCAGGCCGCCGGGCAAGCGUGUUGUGAAAUGCAGUCGCUCAACGUCUGCACUGCAGCGCGAACUGCCCAGCUUGAGUGCGCGCAACGUUGGCGGAAUUCGCCGUGUAGCGGUGAAAUGCUUAGAUAUCACGAAGAACUCCGAUUGCGAAGGCAGC